This is a non-coding RNA of Caenorhabditis elegans, 21 nucleotides long. NCBI's taxonomy places the organism in Eukaryota, Metazoa, Nematoda, Chromadorea, Rhabditida, Rhabditidae. The record is from Ensembl.
UUCACGACUUGAAGGACUCGA